Long non-coding RNA from Canis lupus familiaris (dog), 702 nucleotides. RefSeq lists it as uncharacterized. The record is from RefSeq and is a predicted model, not a curated record. The transcript has 3 exons. NCBI's taxonomy places the organism in Eukaryota, Metazoa, Chordata, Mammalia, Carnivora, Canidae.
GCCGGCUGUGGGGUCAGCCAGUGCGUGGAGGUCAGCCUCACCGGAGGUUUCUGCAACACCCAACAUACUUGUUCCUGUUUUGGGGGAAUGUUAUCACCACUGGCUUCUUAGAAAGAGCCUGAGCCAACAAAUAUUUACUGAGCACCUCCCGGUGCCAGGGCCAGGCUGGGAGCCGGAAAUUGGAUGGGGAACAAGCCAAGGAGAUUUCACCCUCCCGACGACCCAUGGCCGAUGGGCAGGGGACGGACAAAGCCAAAUGAGCAAGCAGCACGAUUCACAGCAGCUGAAAAGUGGAAAAAGCCCAAGUGUCCAUUGACGGGUAAAUGGAUAAACAAAACGUGGUCCCUCGGUAUGGUGGGAUAGUACUUAGCCAUGAAAAGGGACAAAGCCCUGACACCUGCUACAACGUGGAUGAAUCCCAAAAAUAUCGUACUGAGAGAAGCCAGCCACAGAAGGCCACCGAGAGCAUCAUCUCACGUGCAUGAAGUGUCCAGAACAGGCGAAUCCAUGGUGAAAGAGGAUUGAGGUUGUCAGAGGCUGGGGGAGGCGGAGGAGGAAGCGACUGCUGAUAAGGAAGGGGUUCCUUUCAGGAUGAUGGGAAUGUUCUAGAAUUAAAUGUCGGUGGUAGUUGCACAGCUUUGUGAAUGCACAAGAUGCCGCUGAAUUGUCCACUUCAAAAUGGUUCAUUUCAUGUUGUAUGGA